RNA transcript from Canis lupus familiaris (dog), 3316 nucleotides. It is a transcript of the gene named MUS81 structure-specific endonuclease subunit, with no coding region annotated. The record is from RefSeq and is a predicted model, not a curated record. NCBI's taxonomy places the organism in Eukaryota, Metazoa, Chordata, Mammalia, Carnivora, Canidae. The transcript has 19 exons.
CAGACGCCUCCCCUCAGUCGCCAUGGCCUGCUGCUCACCAUGUUUCCGGAAGCGAAAGGGAGAUAGCAAAAAGGGUCAGAAGAGAUGAGAGCCGCUGCAGCUGCCGCCGGGAUCCGACUGAACGCGGCCUCUCCCGGCCCCUUCCGUUUAGUAGGAGCCGCACAAUGAGGGGCGGGGCGGGCUUCCGGCGCUCCCCCCACGGGGCGACGGGAAAUGAAGUCCAAGGGUCCUGCGCCGUCUUUUUGGCCAGCCGGCCUCUCAGGGCCCUAUUACAUGCUGGGAAACGUAGUUCGAGACAGCCAAGGGGGGCGGUGCUGUGGCGCGGAGAGCACGCCCAUUGGUCCACUUUUCCAGGAAACGCUCAGCUGGGCAGAGGCCCCUAGCUCUAGGUAAUGUGACCCGAAAAUGAGCCUCGACCUCGCCGCUCUUUAACCGCCGCGAAACUGUUUCUUAUGAUCCAUCUUGGCACCUUCUGGUCUGAAAAUUUUGGGUUUAGUAUUUUGCUUUUCUGAACUGAAGUAACUAUUUAUUGGCCUGGAAUCCAGUCCUGGAGCAAGAGGAAUCGCAAGUGUAAAGCGUGUUCAACCCGAUAAACAAUUCGUUGGGCACCCUCCAUAUGCAAAGCCACUCGUUUCCUGGGAAAGACCAUAUGCAACUUCAAUAAAAUUAAAAUAAGACACAAGAGAGACUCUACAAGGAAGUCUUUAAGAAUAUAGCUUUGUUCUUGUUUUAAAGAUAGAUGGCAAAUUCACGAAACGGGUUUAUGUCAAUUUAAAGACUGCGCCUUUUACUAGACACGGUGAAAAGAAUAGAUAUUAAGCCAGACUCGAAUCACGUCCUCGAGUUAACAGCCAUGCAUACGGUUAACUUAAAACUCGCAAAAAUUAAGACACAGCUGUGUUAGCUUAAGUUUCUGAAAAAGAAGCCGGUGGGGACUACGGAAAGUUUUCCUUGGCCUCGAACAACGAUCAUGCCUUAGUCUUUGCCGAAAGGGUCACAAAUCAGGGAUCUGAGGGCCUAGAUCCCAUCAGCGGAAUAAAGAGUGUAAAUGAAGAGCUGGAAGCCCGGUCUUCAAGACCGGGAGUGGGGCGCUUCGCAGGGCAUGCUGGGGAUUGUAGUCAAGGACGUCCCGCUGCAUCGCUCACCCCCCGAGUUCCCGGAAGCCCCAGGUGGAGGCCGCCGCUGGACCCACAGCCCGAUGUCCUUCCUACAAAUACGCCUGCACUUACUUGCCCCACCCUCCACCUCUUGGGCUUCUCAGAAGCCCAGCGUCUCUCCGGCAUCCUCAGCAAAGAAGGCGCUGCGCUCCCUCCGGCGGUACCCACUGCCCCUGCGCAGCGGCAAGGAAGCUAAGAUCUUGCAGCACUUCGGAGACAGGCUGUGCCGUAUGCUGGACCAGCGGCUGCAGCAGCACAAAGCAUCGGGGGGUGACCAUGCCCGGAGUUCACCUUCUGGAGAGAAGAGUUCAACCCCAGAAGGGCCACCUGCGAGAGUGCGAGACUCUUCCGUGCCAAUUCCAGCCCAGCCCAAAGCAGGAGGCUCUGGCAGCUACUGGCCAGCUCGGCACUCAGGAGCACGAGCAGUACUGCUGCUGCUUUACAGGGAACGCUUGAAUCCUAGUGGCCGUAGUUUCCUAACGAAGGAGGAGCUGCUGCAGAGAUGUGCUCAGAAAGCUCCCAGGGUGGCUCUUGGGAGUACUCGACCCUGGCCAGCCCUCCGCUCCCUCCUCCACAGGAACCUGGUUCUCAGGACACACCAGCCAGCCAGAAUUUUAGGAACAGCACUCCAGAGAGGAGGAAGAAGUUUGUCUGAAAUGUGCUUGUUGCAGACUAGGAAACAUUCCUGGGCAGGUCCAAAAGAAGCUGAUCUGAGGAGCAAGAGCACAGCCUGUCGGUGGAGGUACUCGCUGACUCCGGAGGGUCUGGAGCUGGCCCAGAAGCUGGCUGAGUCAGAGGGCCUGAGCUCACUGGAUGUGGGCUUCAGGCCAGAGGAGCCCCCUGGGAAGGAGCCAGAAGUGCCAGGAGCGGCCUCUGCUGAGCUUGGUGCUAGUGAAGGGAGUGUCCAGCAGCUGCCACUGGAGCUUGGGCCUGGAGAGUACAGGGUGCUGUUGUGUGUGGACGUUGGCGAAGCCAAGGGGGCAGGGCACAAGCCAAAAUUGCUCCUGGAGCUACAGCGGCUGCACGUGACCCAUGUAGUGCGCAAGUUGCACGUCGGGGACUUCGUGUGGGUGGCUCAGGAGACCAGGCCCAGAGACCCAGCAAGACCUGGGGAGCUCGUCCUGGACCACAUCGUGGAGCGCAAGCGGCUAGAUGAUCUGUGUAGCAGCAUCAUAGAUGGCCGCUUCCGAGAGCAGAAGUUCCGGCUGAAGCGCUGUGGUCUGGGGCACAGAAUAUACCUGGUGGAGGAGCAUGGCUCUGCACACCACCUUAGCCUUCCUGAGAGCACGCUGCUGCAGGCUGUCACCAACACUCAGGUCAUCGAUGGCUUCUUUGUGAAGCGCACAGCAGACAUCAAGGAGUCAGCUGCCUACCUGGCCCUCUUGACACUGGGCUUGCAGAGGCUCUACCAGUGACUUCAACGCAGGAGCCAUGAAGAACAAGGCCCAGUGUGUGCAGGAGGUGUUCGCCAGGCAGCUGAUGCAGGUGCGGGGAGUGAGUGGGGAGAAGGCAGCAGCCAUAGUGGGCCAGUACAGCACCCCUGCCAGCCUCCUGGCCGCCUAUGACGCCUGUGUCACCCCCAAGGAACAGGAGAUGCUGCUGAGCACCAUCAAGUGUGGUCGACUGCAAAGGAAUCUGGGGCCUGCUCUGAGCAGAAUCUUUUCCCAGCUCUACUGCUGCUACAGCCCUCUGACCUGAGGCAUCCCGUGAGGCCGACUACACCACCACCCCCCACCUUCAUGGGCUAGCCAGCCUUUUAAGCCACUGGGCUACAAUAAAAAUAUAAGUAUUUGCAGCUUGAUGUAUUAUGGAGGUGAUGCCAGGGACUUUGUGAAGUAUCCAGGCAGAAAUUGGGGAGACCAACAGAUCCAGUGGUUUUUAAACUGAGCUCUAAGGACCCUGGGGUUCCCUGGGAGAGCACUGAGACCACCAAGGAGAUGGAGUCAGUGAGGCGUUACAACUUUGAAUCUAGUUUAUAUCAUCAGAGUUCCCUGAUAGGAUCAAAUAUCCUUCCAUAAUAAGUUCUGUGUUUUGGAAAAGAAAUAUGUGGAAAGCACUAAUCUUAAUUGCCUCAUUUUAUAGAUUGGAAAACUGAUGCCCAGAAAGAAUCUACUAGGGUUUAGUCAAAUUGAUAGUUUGAGGCCAAACUGGGAUUAGAA